Long non-coding RNA from Rhineura floridana, 4321 nucleotides. RefSeq lists it as uncharacterized. NCBI's taxonomy places the organism in Eukaryota, Metazoa, Chordata, Lepidosauria, Squamata, Rhineuridae. The record is from RefSeq and is a predicted model, not a curated record. The transcript has 8 exons.
UUAUUUUUUUUCUUAACGUGCGACGGAAGAGUCAUUUCUGACAACCUUCAUUGCCAAUGCAAUAGCAGAAAAAGGCGUCUCCACGUUCAAAUCCCUUGUGUACCCCGUCGCUACCCGGAGACCGCUCCGAGGGGCGGAGACUUUGCCGCCACAGAAGCGUUCGGCGACUUCCUCCCUGCAGCGGCUGCGCGCUUUGACGCAUACGAAAAGAGGCGGCUCUCCGGGGCUGGCCCUCCCAUAACCAGACGGCUGUGUUGCCUGCAGAAGCGGAGGGCCGCGCUCGCUGAUUUUUGAUCAUACCCGUUACCACUGUGCCGGCCACUAAAGUCAGCCGGUGAAUUUCAUAAAUUAAACAGUGAGGAUAUUUUCUUAAGAGAAAUUCAGAGCAAACACAACUGAAUUAUAACUGGUUGGUUUUUUUUAAGGUUCUAAAGUUAUCCAGCAGUCUAGCGUAAUGAACACAGAUGUGAGCAACUAUGCAUCCUAAGGAAGGCAACCGAGACGCGGAAGUGACAGACGUUCUGCGAAUAACAAACAGUGGAAUAAUAAACGAAUUCAAUAUUUAAAUAGGUUUACAUUUUCAGAGAUAGCUAUACUGAAUAUGAUCUGUCAUCAGAUCCGAAUGUUGGAAGGUUAAAGAAAAUGAGAUAUUAUCAGACGUCCUAUUUCUCAUGGCUGGAGUUCCCACUUCUAAUUUUAUGCAGCUCAUGUGCCUUUAAGCGUGCAGAAAUGCAAAUAUUGGAAUCCUCCCUCCCCCCCAUAGAAGUGAGAAUUUCUGCUGGGUCAUGCAGCUGCACAAGAGCCCUGUCAGUACAAGAAGGUGGCAGCCCUAUUGAAGGAACCUCUCUUUUUUGACAGCUAGGGAAAGAUCUGUCAAAUCUGGCAGACUGUUUCGGGAAGUGUUGGGAAAGCCUUUGUACGCUUGUCCGCCCCCCCCUUCCUAAUUUUCAUGUCAGUGCUGUGAGGAAAAAGAGCUGGUGGAAUACAUUAAACAAGAGGAUCCCAGAGACUUGUGCAAAGCAGAGGACUGCUGCCAGCCAGUUACUGAAUUUGAAGGAAAUACAUUUUCUGGAAAUAAGUUUUCCCGAGACCUUUUAUAGUUUGCUUAUCUCCAGCAUCACAGUUCAUCGUCAUCAGAUAGGGCAUCAAGAUAGUCUGUAUCAACAUACAAGAGGAAUCCUGAAAACAGACUGUCCGCCCAUGUGGGAUCAGCAAAAAGGCCAUUCUGAUCGGUGUAGAAGAUCUCAAGCCAUACUUGAUCCUCUGGCUGAAGUUUAAAAGAAAAUAUUCCUUUGAAAUUUGUAGUGUGAUCCGUGAUCUCCAGGAAGACCUGCAGGACCUGGCAAUCCAGAGAUGGAUAUGUCUGAAACAUGGUAUAUAUAUAUAUAUAUAUAUAUAUAUACAGGGUUGAAUGACAGAGAACAGAAAUUUGAGAGAAAAUCUGCACAAGACAUCCGGCAGCUGCUAAACACAGAUGAGAGGUGUCACCUUCCCAGACUCUUAUGGGUAUCAUUCAAAGAAUCUGGUUUCCAAAAACAAAACUUGUGGCUUUGACAAAAACAAGGGCUGGAGAGAGAUCCAUAGAUAUCAUGUAACAUCACUGUUCUUUUGUGAAAGUCCCUGGACACUCAUCAGUUGCCUAUUUAUUCACACCUGUGAUCCAGAUUUCGUCAGCAUUGGUAACAGUGCUUUCCUGGAACUUCCUUUCUUCAGUGGCUCUACAAAAAUACAUUGUAGCAAAUAUAUCAAUCCUCACUAGGAAGCUGAUAUAGAAAAAGCUGUUGCAACCAACUGAACUGCCUGUGCUGUGAAUGAGUCAGUGGCAUCUACGUGUAUGUUUUGGGGUUCUUUUCCAUGCAUGUGUCACCUGGCAAGGAGGGAAGGUGAUGGAAACUGCAAUUCACAUUCACAUGUUGCUGCAUUCAAAAAUUACCACAUUGUUGUAGAAUAAUCCACAUGAAACUGGGUCCUAUACUGUGGCCAAUAAAGUAUUAAUUGGCCCUAAAAACCAUGGGUUUGUGUGGAAUUUACUUCCAAAUAUGUCUGUGUCUAUGGUGUGGUUCACACAUGCAAGUACAGAACUGGACGUCUCUGCACUUAAACUUGAUGACUCACAGCAGACUGUAUGAAGAAACUCUAUUGAAAAUAAUAGUGCAUGAGGAAGUGUGAAAGUUUACACAUCAAAAGUCAUCCCUGUAUGUUGCAGUCAUCAAAUGCUGAACAUGUGUGAAGUAGUUCUAUGGUUCCAGCCUUUAUGUACCAUCUAAAGUGUCUCCAACUCUCACAUUUUAUUCUUUGGAGAAAACGGAAUCCUCAGAAUCCCUGUAAUCAUUCCUUAUGCAGGAGUAUGCAAUAAUUUAAUUUGGAUGGAUAUAUUGUUCAUUGUUACCUAUGGAAAACAUUAGUGAGGAUUCAUUGAACUCCACCCUCCCCAUGCACUGAAAGUAUGUGUGUGAGGAUUGCAGGUUUGCACUGUUAGCCCCACUCGCAAUGCACACAGUGGCCGUGCAGUCAGAAUCAGCAGCCAUGGAAAGGGGUGCUAAAUCGAUAUAGAUGUAGAAGGAAAGGGAAGGGAAUCUCCUUUGUGUGGAGGAGCUAUAAACACAUUAUAUGUGUUCAAAGUCCCGUCACACUACUGAACAUGCAGCUAGUUGGGGAGGGGCGCCACACAAAUCUUCAGUGCAUGAGGUGAUUUGAAUCAAUCCCCUUAUUAGGACCAUCACUGAUAGAUUUUAUGGCAGCUUACCAAGGAGUUUAAAGAUGGAACUACAGAGUGGCUACCAAAAAUGGCAAUACUGUGUCAAUUUCUCUUCUCUGUCCCAUAAGUUUUAGACAUAAUAAUAUUGUACAACUUUCUGUCUGAGUUCCAAGUCACUGGCUGACAUUGUUGGGGGCAGGGAAGAGUGGAAUCUGAGUACCUCUUAGAAGGAGAGCGGUGUUUUACUGCACAGGGAUGAAUGGGGAAGGAGUCUAAUACCCAUGAAUUAUUGGGAACAGGCAACCUUGCAUGCUGCCACUAGGGGGCAGAUUUAUACAUACUUUAAACAGUAAAAGGGAGAAUUGUCCUCUCUGGCCAGACUUGGGGAAACUCCAAAGUUUGCUGUGAUGUAGCUUCCUGUUUGAAUUGUUGUUUUGUCCUCUCCUCCUUCUUGCUGUGCUGCCUUUGGAAUUCUUCAGUAUCUCAUUGAGCAAGCAGGGGUGGGGCUGCUUGCCAGAAGCUGAAAAUGACGGACUGAAAGUAACCUCCAUUUCUUCUUUCUGAUUUCCUGAACUGUGCCUAUACCACUGUAUAUGUGAAGUGUCCAUGAAUAAUUUUUUUAAUAUUCUUUACUGGAGAAAGCUUGAUUGGUUUAUUCUUCUAGACUAUGUGAGGGGGGAGGGGGGACUGAUUAUUGCUCAUUCCCUUUUUUUGCAAUUUUACUCUGCUAGAAAUAGAACCAAAUAAUUGUUUUAUCUCAUCAACCUCAACCCCAACAUGAAUCUCCUGGGGCAAUUUAUUAUAUGGGAUUAUUAACUGAUAGCCAUAACAGUUCUGGGAGAUCCAGGGUCGAUGGAGGUUGUGUUAUUUUAAUGAUUCAGUACAAAGUUGAGAUGGGAUCCAAAGACCGUGCCCAAAGGCCAAAACUGUCCAGUGAGAUUUUAUUUCAUUUUAUUUUAUUUGAGCAGCAGACCUGCAACCCUCUCCCAUGCUAUGUUAUAAACUGCUUUUUAAGUCCCCACACUUUCAAGAGCAAUUUGUGGUGUGGCAUAAGGGGUGUGUGUCUAGGAUAAGUCUGCUACUAGUUAUAUCCCAGCCUUGGAAUAUAAGUUGCUAAAGGACAAACUUUGUGAUGGGAGAACGGACCACAUUGGUUUAUUGAUGCCUCUGCCCCAUUCACAUAUAAGGUGUGAAAUGAAUUCUCCCACCUUGCACUCCCAUCACUUCAGACACUUUUCUCCCAGCUUGGUUCAGUUUUAGUACCAGAGCCAGGUUGGGAGAAAACUUCCUAAACCAUGAGAAAAUGAAAUAUUUGUGUAGGUUCAACUUCCUGCACCUGUGUGUCCCUUUUUAUAUAAACUGAGAGACACACAUCUGUCCAUGAUUUCCAUGUGAAUAAACAUCUGAAUAAACAUGCAACACUUCACUGUCUGGUGUAGCCCUAAAGAUCAGUAUACAUUUGCUGCUGUGUGUUGUGGCCACUGGGGAUGGGGGAGAAAUUCGGGUCAGUUUGCACAGAAAGCAGAAUUUAUCAAAUCUGCACUUAUCAAAACUAUAUGAGAACUGAAACACAGACAUCCUUCAAAAUUCGCACUUAUCCAAAUUUUGUGAUGCAGUUCUGCA